GUGUUGGUGGUUUAGUGGUAGAAUUCUCACCUUCUGUGCAAGAGAUUUGAGUUCAGUUCCUGGCCAAUACA
RNAcentral lists this transfer RNA (71 nucleotides) under Loxodonta africana (African savanna elephant). It matches the Rfam family "tRNA". Rfam says of the family: Transfer RNA (tRNA) molecules are approximately 80 nucleotides in length. Their secondary structure includes four short double-helical elements and three loops (D, anti-codon, and T loops). The record is from Rfam by way of RNAcentral. Lineage: Eukaryota; Metazoa; Chordata; Mammalia; Proboscidea; Elephantidae.